Molecule: ribosomal RNA, 438 nt
Filed under: uncultured bacterium
Lineage: Bacteria
Description: partial 16S ribosomal RNA
Rfam family: Bacterial small subunit ribosomal RNA
Source: RNAcentral
CUACGGGGUGCUGCAGUGGGGAAUAUUGCACAAUGGGCGAAAGCCUGAUGCAGCAACGCCGCGUGAGCGAUGAAGGCCUUCGGGUCGUAAAGCUCUGUCCUCAAGGAAGAAUUUUGACGGUACUUGAGGAGGAAGCCCCGGCUAACUACGUGCCAGCAGCCGCGGUAAUACGUAGGGGGCUAGCGUUAUCCGGAAUUACUGGGCGUAAAGGGGCGUAGGUGGUCUGACAAGUCAGGGGUGAAAGGCUACGGCUCAACCGUAGUAAGCCCUUGAAACUGUCGGACUUGAGUGCAGGAGAGGAAAGUGGAAUUCCCAGUGUAGCGGUGAAAUGCGUAGAUAUUGGGAGGAACAUCAGUGGCGAAGGCGACUUUCUGGACUGUAACUGACACUGAGGCACGAAAGCGUGGGGAGCAAACAGGAUUAGAUACCCGAGUAGUC